Molecule: ribosomal RNA, 305 nt
Filed under: uncultured bacterium
Lineage: Bacteria
Description: partial 16S ribosomal RNA
Rfam family: Bacterial small subunit ribosomal RNA
Source: RNAcentral
ACAGCAGUAGCCGCGGUAAAACGUAGGGUGCGAGCGUUAAUCGGAAUUACUGGGCGUAAAGCGUGCGCAGGCGGUUCGGAAAGAGAGAUGUGAAAUCCCAGGGCUUAACCUUGGAACUGCAUUUUUAACUACCGGACUAGAGUGUGUCAGAGGGAGGUGGAAUUCCGCGUGUAGCAGUGAAAUGCGUAGAGAUGCGGAGGAACACCGAUGGCGAAGGCAGCCUCCUGGGAUAACACUGACGCUCAUGCACGAAAGCGUGGGGAGCAAACAGGAUUAGAUACCCCAGUAGUCCCUGUCUCUUAUAC